RNAcentral lists this ribosomal RNA (245 nucleotides) under uncultured bacterium. RNAcentral's name for it is "partial small subunit ribosomal RNA". It matches the Rfam family "Bacterial small subunit ribosomal RNA", at positions 26 to 288 of the family's 1533-position model. The record is from RNAcentral.
AGGACGAACGCUGGCGGCGUGCUUAACACAUGCAAGUCGAGCGGAAAGGCCCUUCGGGGUACUCGAGCGGCGAACGGGUGAGUAACACGUGACUAACCUACCUUUUAGUGGGGGAUAACCUAGGGAAACCUGGGCUAAUACCGCAUAACACUUACGAGUCAAAGCAGCAAUGCGCUGAAAGAGGGGGUCGCGGCCGAUUAGCUAGUUGGCGGGGUAAUGGCCCACCAAGGCAGUGAUCGGUAUCC